CUGCUACUCUGAGUCUCCGCUCUCUGCUCCGUGUCCCGCUCACGGCUCGGGAAACCAUUUGUCCCAUCCUAGCGCCCCACCUCCCAACCUUUCUAACUUCCCGGUCCCACCUGCAUCCUUCACCACCCCUCUCCAGGCGUACGCAGAAGCACCCCUUUCACUCGGUGUCUUCUGCUAAGAAAAUCUCAGAGGCACUGGAAAUACUUCCUCUGACAGAACACGCUGCUGUUUAUGGAUCCUGCUGGCAUCCAUUUCAGGCAUAAUCGCCAACUCACAGGAUCUGAGAUGUGUUUGAUUAGCUGUACUUCAAGAUGGCUAGAGGUUACCCUGCUUCACACGAAGCUUUAAACAGCCCAUGGAAACAAUCCAUUAACAAAAAGCAUCAGGGAGCAAUUAAGAAAUUGUUGAAAGUUUUCUAGGUAUGA
Molecule: non-coding RNA, 425 nt
Organism: Leptonychotes weddellii (Weddell seal)
Lineage: Eukaryota; Metazoa; Chordata; Mammalia; Carnivora; Phocidae
Source: RefSeq, a predicted model, not a curated record